This 465-nucleotide ribosomal RNA is filed under the name uncultured bacterium. Its description in RNAcentral is "partial 16S ribosomal RNA". It matches the Rfam family "Bacterial small subunit ribosomal RNA", at positions 28 to 507 of the family's 1533-position model. The record is from RNAcentral.
GACGAACGCUGGCGGCGUGCUUAACACAUGCAAGUCGAACGGAAAGGCCCCUUCGGGGGUACUCGAGUGGCGAACAGGUGAGUAACACGUGAGUAACCUGCCCUUGACUUCGGGAUAACUUCAGGAAACUGGGGCUAAUACCGGAUAGGAAUCCUUGCUGCAUGGUGGGGGUUGGAAAGCUUCGGCGGUUUUGGAUGGACUCGCGGCUUAUCAGCUUGUUGGUGGGGUAGUGGCUUACCAAGGCUUUGACGGGUAGCCGGCCUGAGAGGGCGACCGGCCAAAUGGGGAAGGAGAGACGGCCAAGACUCGAAGGGGAGGAAGAGGGGGGGAAGAUGGAAAAAGGGGGGAAAGCUGGAGGCAGAAAGGCGGGGGGGGGGAGGACGGGCUGGGGGUUGAAAACCGUUUAGAGCGGGGGAAAGGCUUGUGGGGACGGAACCGGAAAAAGAAGGACCGGCAAACUACGGG